UAGGAACAUCGGUCUAAGCAGUUCUGUGG
This 29-nucleotide non-coding RNA is filed under the name Rattus norvegicus (Norway rat). Lineage: Eukaryota; Metazoa; Chordata; Mammalia; Rodentia; Muridae. The record is from RNAcentral.